Molecule: unclassified non-coding RNA, 358 nt
Filed under: soil metagenome
Description: partial contains 5.8S ribosomal RNA, internal transcribed spacer 2, and large subunit ribosomal RNA
Rfam family: 5.8S ribosomal RNA (bases 1-120)
Source: RNAcentral
GAUGAAGAACGUAGCGAAAUGCGAUAAGUAAUGUGAAUUGCAGAAUUCAGUGAAUCAUCGAAUCUUUGAACGCACAUUGCGCCCGUCAGUAUUCUGGCGGGCAUGCCUGUUCGAGCGUCAUUACGCCCCUCAAGUCCCCUGUGGACUUGGUGUUGGGGAUCGGCGAGGCUGGUUUUCCAGCACAGCCGUCCCUUAAAUUAAUUGGCGGUCUCGCCGUGGCCCUCCUCUGCGCAGUAGUAAAACACUCGCAACAGGAGCCCGGCGCGGUCCACUGCCGUAAAACCCCCCAACGUUUUAUAGUUGACCUCGAAUCAGGUAGGACUACCCGCUGAACUUAAGCAUAUCAAUAAGCGGAGGA